CCUUCGACGUUAGCGGCGGACGGGUGAGUAACACGUGGGUAACCUACCUAUAAGACUGGGAUAACUUCGGGAAACCGGAGCUAAUACCGGAUAAUAUUUCGAACCGCAUGGUUCGAUAGUGAAAGAUGUUUUGCUAUCACUUAUAGAUGGACCCGCGCCGUAUUAGCUAGUUGGUAAGGUAACGGCUUACCAAGGCGACGAUACGUAGCCGACCUGAGAGGGUGAUCGGCCACACUGGAACUGAGACACGGUCCAGACUCCUACGGGAGGCAGCAGGC
Molecule: ribosomal RNA, 278 nt
Filed under: uncultured Staphylococcus sp.
Lineage: Bacteria; Bacillati; Bacillota; Bacilli; Caryophanales; Staphylococcaceae
Description: partial 16S ribosomal RNA
Rfam family: Bacterial small subunit ribosomal RNA
Source: RNAcentral